RNAcentral lists this ribosomal RNA (490 nucleotides) under uncultured bacterium. RNAcentral's name for it is "partial 16S ribosomal RNA". It matches the Rfam family "Bacterial small subunit ribosomal RNA", at positions 28 to 507 of the family's 1533-position model. The record is from RNAcentral.
GAUGAACGCUAGCGGCAGGCCUAAUACAUGCAAGUCGAACGGGAUCCAGAUCAAAGCUUGCUUUGGUCUGGUGAGAGUGGCGCACGGGUGCGUAACGCGUGAGCAACCUACCCUUGUCAGGGGGAUAGCCCGGCGAAAGUCGGAUUAAUACCGCAUGACAUCAUUGAGAGGCAUCUUUCGAUGAUCAAAGAUUUAUCGGACAAGGAUGGGCUCGCGUGGCAUUAGCUAGUUGGUAAGGUAACGGCUUACCAAGGCUGCGAUGUCUAGGGGCUCUGAGAGGAGAAUCCCCCACACUGGUACUGAGACACGGACCAGACUCCUACGGGAGGCAGCAGUAAGGAAUAUUGGUCAAGGGACGGAAGUCUGAACCAGCCAUGCCGCGUGCAGGAGGACGGCCCUAUGGGUUGUAAACUGCUUUUAUACGGGAACAAACGUCGGUACGUGUACCGGUCUGAGUGUACCGUAAGAAUAAGGAUCGGCUAACUCCGUG